UUCAAGGCAGAACACGACAGAUAAUCCUUGCCUUGCACUGAGGGGGUGCAAUAUGCAGAAAGUGCAAGAGGAAGGAGUACAUUUAAUUCCAGGUGCUGUGUUUGACAACUCUUAGCCUCUGGAAGAUGCUCUUUUUAAGGCAACCUGUUCCUAACUUUAAUUAGGUAAGUAGCAUAUCCUGUUCUAGAUAGGUUAUUCAUAUCUAGUUCAUAUAUUUGAUUUGUGUCAGUAUGUCAAGCAGAGGCCAGACACCUUUAAUAGGAGACAGUAGAGAGAUAUAAAGUGAAUCAAAGCUUUAGACUCUUACAUCUGCUUCUAACAGGCUAUCCUG
RNAcentral lists this long non-coding RNA (331 nucleotides) under Anser brachyrhynchus (Pink-footed goose). Its description in RNAcentral is "lncRNA (ENSABRG00000003952.1)". Lineage: Eukaryota; Metazoa; Chordata; Aves; Anseriformes; Anatidae. The record is from RNAcentral.